AGCUCUGGCUGUUUUGAAAUUCACUGUGUAGACCAGACUAGCCUCAAACUCAGAGCUCUUACUGCCUCUGCCUCCAGGGUGCUGCAGUCAAAGGUGUGCACCACUGCAUCCCGCUGAGGACUCAGUUUCUUGCAUGACCAAACUCAAGGCUGGAGUUAGCAUUUCUUUUUAUAUUUCAGUGAAAUCUUAUAAAGAUCAUAUCUUAAUUAGAGCAAGCUGAUCUCAUCUAAUAGUAAAUCUUGGGCCAGCAAAAUGGCUCAGUGUCCCUGCAACCAAAUCUAACAAUCGGAGUUUGUUUUCUGGGACUCGCUUGGUGGAAGGAGAAAACCAACCCCCCAGACUGUCCUGUAACCUCUGUGCGUGCACUGUAACAUGGCUACACGCACACUAAAUGAGUGUAAAACUUUGUAAGUUAAACUUUGCAGAGGCGUGUGUAUGUUUGAGUUGAGGACAAUGGCGACAUCACUGGAACAUGAAGAAGGCUGACUUGUGUGAGCAUGUCUGUAAUCCCAGCACUUGGAAAGCUUUGGCAGUAGGGUCAUGAAUUUGAAGCCAGCCCAGGCUAAAAUAAAUAAAAGAGUAAAACAUGAAGUCUUACAGCAUUGGUUUGUGUGGCGCCCACUAGAGUGAACUAAACAAUGCUCUCCGCUCGGGGCUUGCAGUGGUCCCCACAGCAGUGAGCUGGCCUAGCAUGCAGGAGGCUGAUAGGUCUGUUACGAGCAGCCCAAGAACGAAAAUGCAGAACUUGGGAAACAGGUCACACCAUGCUCUCCACCAGUGCCUUCUAAGUUUGAGACAUCACCGAGGGUGCUCCAAAUCCCUUAGCCUAUGUUGUGGGAAAUGAAAACAAGUGUAUAGUUGACAUGGGGGUAGCCGGGUCAAUGAUCCCAGUGUCUCAGCCCCAUGAAAGCCCCAAAGUCCCCUGAGGACGCUCCAGUGGAGAUUAGACAAACCUGUCUCCUUGUUUAGCUGUAUAAUAAACUCACUUUGCUUCCUGGGUGCUGUGGGUCUCCAUCAGAGAUCCCAGUCCAUCUGAUCCC
RNAcentral lists this long non-coding RNA (1040 nucleotides) under Rattus norvegicus (Norway rat). RNAcentral's name for it is "long non-coding RNA NONRATT003680". The record is from RNAcentral. Lineage: Eukaryota; Metazoa; Chordata; Mammalia; Rodentia; Muridae.